This 496-nucleotide ribosomal RNA is filed under the name uncultured bacterium. RNAcentral describes it as "partial 16S ribosomal RNA". It matches the Rfam family "Bacterial small subunit ribosomal RNA", at positions 28 to 507 of the family's 1533-position model. The record is from RNAcentral.
GAUGAACGCUGGCGGCGUGCCUAAUACAUGCAAGUCGAGCGAACAGACGAGGAGCUUGCUCCUCUGACGUUAGCGGCGGACGGGUGAGUAACACGUGGAUAACCUACCUAUAAGACUGGGAUAACUUCGGGAAACCGGAGCUAAUACCGGAUAAUAUAUUGAACCGCAUGGUUCAAUAGUGAAAGACGGUUUUGCUGUCACUUAUAGAUGGAUCCGCGCCGCAUUAGCUAGUUGGUAAGGUAACGGCUUACCAAGGCGACGAUGCGUAGCCGACCUGAGAGGGUGAACGGCCAACUGGGACCUGAACACGGGCCAAACCCCCGAGGGGGGGACGAGGGGGGAAAUUUCCCCCAAGGGGGGAAACCUUGCGGGAGCACGGCGGGGGGGGUGAAAAAGGUCUUGGGAUCGUAAACCUUUUUUUUAGGGAAAAAAAAAAUUUGAAAGUAACUAUGCCCGUCUUGCGGGUACCAAACAAAAAAGCCCGGCCAACCUCCUG